This 196-nucleotide ribosomal RNA is filed under the name Escherichia coli. Its description in RNAcentral is "partial 16S ribosomal RNA". It matches the Rfam family "Bacterial small subunit ribosomal RNA", at positions 1338 to 1533 of the family's 1533-position model. RNAcentral also lists the same sequence under 6 other names. The record is from RNAcentral. Lineage: Bacteria; Pseudomonadati; Pseudomonadota; Gammaproteobacteria; Enterobacterales; Enterobacteriaceae.
GUAAUCGUGGAUCAGAAUGCCACGGUGAAUACGUUCCCGGGCCUUGUACACACCGCCCGUCACACCAUGGGAGUGGGUUGCAAAAGAAGUAGGUAGCUUAACCUUCGGGAGGGCGCUUACCACUUUGUGAUUCAUGACUGGGGUGAAGUCGUAACAAGGUAACCGUAGGGGAACCUGCGGUUGGAUCACCUCCUUA